GAUUAACGCUGGCGGCGUGCAUAACACAUGCAAGUCGAACGAUGAAACUCAUUAGAUUUCUUCGGAAUGAAACUGAAUGGAUUAGUGGCGAACGGGUGAGUAACGCGUGAGUAACCUGCCUUACACAAGGGGAUAGCCUCUGGAAACGGAGAAUAAUACCCUAUGAAACCAGACAAUCGCAUGAUAAUCUGGUCAAAAUGUUUAGUGGUGUAAGAUGGACUUGCGUCUGAUUAGCUAGUUGGUGAGAUAAAAGCUCACCAAGGCAACGAUCAGUAGCCGGCUUGAGAGAGUGUACGGCCACAUUGGGACUGAGACACGGCCCAGACUCCUAAGGGAGGAAGCAGUGGGGAAUUUUGAACAAUGGGGGAAACCAGGAUGCAGCGACGCCGCGUGAUUUAGAAGGCCUUCGGGUUGUAAAAAUCUUUUGUAUAGGAAGAAAAUGACAGUACUAUACGAAUAAGGUCCGGCUAAUUACGUG
RNAcentral lists this ribosomal RNA (478 nucleotides) under uncultured bacterium. RNAcentral's name for it is "partial 16S ribosomal RNA". It matches the Rfam family "Bacterial small subunit ribosomal RNA", at positions 28 to 507 of the family's 1533-position model. The record is from RNAcentral.